AUGCUGUUUGAGGGGAAGGACGGCCACGGUGUGCACCAAGAGAUGAAGAUAGUCUCCAUCGUCGGAUAUGGUGGAUUGGGCAAAACCACCAUUGCCAAAGCUGUUUAUGACAAGCUUAAGGUGAAAUUCCAGUGUGGGGCUUUUGUUCCGGUCGGUCAGUAUCCAGACAUGAAGAAAGUUUUCAUGGACAUUCUAAUUGGCCUUGACAAGGAAAAGUAUAUGAAUUCCAAUAUGAUGAUAUUGGAUCAGUAUCAGCUCAUCAGUGAAAUAAAAGAAUUUCUCCAGGAUAAGAGGUACUUCAUUGUUAUUGAUGAUAUAUGGGAUACACCAACAUGGGAAUUGAUAAAAUGCGCUUUGGUGGAUAAUGAUCUUGGAAAUGUGGUAAUCACAACUACUCGCAAAUCACAAGUUGAUAUGGGUGCUCUUGUUUAUACGCCAAAAGAGAUUUCGUAUAGGGACUCCCAAAAGUUGUUCUAUACAAAUAUAUUUGGUACAGAGGAAUGCCCUGAGAAAUACAAAUCAGCUGGCGUGUAUGAUAAAAUUACUGAGGUGUCUGAAAAAAUUCUGAAGAAAUGCAAUGGUUCUCCAUUAGCCAUCGCUACAAUAGCUAGUGUGCUAGCUAAGAAACCAAUCUUGAAAUGGUCACAUGCCUACAAAAAUAUAGGUUUUGGGCAUGAUGAAGAUGACUCACAAGUUAAGAGAACAAUGAAGAUAUUGUCUUUUAGCUAUUAUGAUAUGCCAUUGCAUCUACGGGCUUGCUUAUUAUAUUUAAGCAUAUUUCCGGAGGAUGAUUGUAUUCCCAAAACAAUGGUGAUAUGGAUGUGGAUAGCUGAAGGCUUUAUUCAUGAUAAAGAAGGGGUAGGUCAGUUUGAGCUUGGAGAAAGAUAUUUUAAUGAGCUUGUUAGUAGAAACAUGAUCAUACCUGUGGAGUUCACAAGAUCAGGCUUCCUUAAUGGUUGUCGUCUCCAUGACAUGAUACUUCAUGUCCUUCGUUCCUUGUCAAAAGAAGAAAACUUUAUCAGUAUAUUAGAUAAUGAGCAGCACACGUCCGUGGGCAGCCGGCGAGUUUCCAUCCAAAAGCUCGGCUUAGACAACAUCAGUACCCAGGUUGUUAUGGACAAGUCACAAGUGAGGUCAGUUGCUGCCUUUGGAGGUCUUAUGGACGUCUUGCCCCCGCUAUCUAGUUUCCCCGUGUUGCGUGUACUGGCAGUGGUGCUAAACUCUGUUUUGAAAGAAAGCCAUUAUCUGGAGGGACUUGGGAGCUCACUUCACCUUCGGUACAUCAGUCUAUUGCUUACACGUACACGUCAAUUCCCAAAAGAUAUUGGUCAUCUAAAGUUGCUGCAGGUACUGGACAUCGGGUGCAGUGGCAUAGAAGAACUGCCGGACAGUAUGGCCCUGCUACAGGGAUUGAUGUGCCUACAUGCUGACAGGAAGACAAGGAUGCCCGAUUGGCUUGGGAAGCUGACUUCCCUGCAGGAGCUGUGGAUUUGGCCUGCUGCCGACAAGUAUGCACGCUUUGUGGAAGAGUUGCGCAAGCUGAGGGAGUUGAGGGUGCUGUUAACAUGCAAUGAUGCGCCUGAUGAGAGCGUGGAGAAAUAA
Molecule: ribosomal RNA, 1602 nt
Filed under: Triticum aestivum (bread wheat)
Lineage: Eukaryota; Viridiplantae; Streptophyta; Magnoliopsida; Poales; Poaceae
Description: partial small subunit ribosomal RNA
Source: RNAcentral